RNAcentral lists this ribosomal RNA (484 nucleotides) under uncultured bacterium. RNAcentral describes it as "partial 16S ribosomal RNA". It matches the Rfam family "Bacterial small subunit ribosomal RNA", at positions 30 to 507 of the family's 1533-position model. The record is from RNAcentral.
AUUGAACGCUGGCGGCAGGCCUAACACAUGCCAGUCGAGCGGAGGAAGGGAGCUUGCUCCUGGAUUCAGCGGCGGACGGGUGAGUAAUGCCUAGGAAUCUGCCUGGUAGUGGGGGAUAACGUCCGGAAACGGGCGCUAAUACCGCAUACGUCCUGAGGGAGAAAGUGGGGGAUCUUCGGACCCCACGCUAUCAGAUGAGCCUAGGUCGGAUUAGCUCGCUGGUGGGGUGAAGGCCUACCAAGGCGACGAUCCGCAACUGGUCUGAGAGGAUGAUCAGUCACACUGGAACUGAGACACGGUCCAGGCUCCUACGGGAGGCAGCAGUGGGGAAUAUUGGACAAUGGGCGAAAGCCUGAUCCAGCCAUGCCGCGUGUGUGAAGAAGGUCUUCGGAUUGUAAAGCACUUUAAGUUGGGAGGAAGGGCAGUAAGUUAAUACCUUGCUGUUUUGACGUUACCAACAGAAUAAGCACCGGCUAACUUCGUG